UCCAAGGACGUUCCAAGGACAAUGGUUCAAGGGACCACUGCUCUCUCUAAUCCCUUGAAAACUAUCUUGGAUUUUACCUCUGAACCCGCCCACUAGCCACAUGGGAAUGAGCCCGUUUUCAAGGUGGAGGAUUCUUCCCCAGACCACGUCCCUUCCAAAUAUCCCACCCAGGGGCCUCCAUCAAUCUGCCUAAUGUGGUCCUACUCCCAUCCAACUUCUUUUGCCCGGAUCCUGACACCCUCUACUCGUCCUAAGUCCUCCAUGGAGCAACCGGCCAUCUCACCAUCCCAGGAGCCAAGAGGCAGCCCCAGCUGUGCGGGGUGAGGUAGGAGAUGCUCACUGAAGUAGGAAUGGGGCCUGCGUUCUCUCAGACGACUAUGAAGACAAGGGAGAACUGAGGAUCGCUCCAUCUGUUACACUGAGAACGGACUGCAGGGAGCCAGGGUGGAAGCAGGAGGCUGUCUGGAGGCUUCUGUAGUAACCCGGUAGAGAGAGCAUGCCACCGGGGGUCGGAACUAAAAAAGCAGUGCCUUUCAAAUCAAAA
Long non-coding RNA from Felis catus (domestic cat), 544 nucleotides. RefSeq lists it as uncharacterized. NCBI's taxonomy places the organism in Eukaryota, Metazoa, Chordata, Mammalia, Carnivora, Felidae. The record is from RefSeq and is a predicted model, not a curated record. The transcript has 2 exons.